Syngnathus acus (greater pipefish) is the source of this 1740-nucleotide RNA transcript. RefSeq lists it as uncharacterized. Lineage: Eukaryota; Metazoa; Chordata; Actinopteri; Syngnathiformes; Syngnathidae. The record is from RefSeq and is a predicted model, not a curated record. The transcript has 12 exons.
AUGACCCCCGGGUGGGCGUGGCCAAGGUCUGCAAAGCUGGAAGUGCAAGUUGGAGCCAAGUGAAGACAACACAAGAGCGUAAGCGAGGGCGCCAGUCUUCCUUUUUUGUUUUUGCAUCAGAGGGAGUCACAACAACACACGACAGGCAACAUGAGCAGGUGUUUGAUCAGCCAGGCGGAGGUGCAGAGUUUCAUCGAGAGGUGCAUGAUGGCGGUGGGCACCAAGCAGCAUCACGCCCGCAGCCUGGCCCAGGUUCUGGUGGAGGGUGACCACAGGGGUCACUACAGCCACGGACUCAACAGGAUGGAUAUGUACGUGAAAGACGUUAAGACGGGUAUCUGCGCCAAGGAUGGGGAGCCUGUCGUGGAAAAGGAGAGUCCAGCCACGGCCCUCGUGGACGGGCAGAACCUCCUGGGCCCUGUGGUGGGGAACUUCUGCAUGAAUUUGGCCAUCAAGAAGGCCAAAGAAGUCGGGAUCGGCUGGGUGGUGGCGCACGGCUCCAACCAUUACGGCAUUGCCGGCCACUACGCCAUGCUAGCUCUGAAGGAGAACAUGAUCGGAAUGUCCUUCACCAACACGUCCCCUCUGGUGGUCCCCACACGUGGAAAAGAGUGCACCUUAGGCACCAACCCCCUCAGCGUGGCAGCGCCGUCCAAAAAUGGCGACAGCUUCGUUUUGGACAUGGCCACAUCGGCGGUCGCCCUUGGAAAAGUGGAGCUGCACGACCGUCGUGGCGACACUAUCCCAGAGGGGUGGGGCUGCGACCCCAAGGGCAAGCUCACCACCGACCCUAAGCAAGUUCUGAACGGAGGAGGCUUGGUUCCCAUCGGUGGCAGCGAGGCCACAGGAGGCUACAAAGGUUACGGCCUUGGUAUGAUGGUAGAAGUGUUCUGCGGUAUCCUGGCCGGAGCCAAAUACAGCAAACACAUCCGCACAUGGAAAGUGACCGACAGGGUUGCAGAUUUGGGUCAGUGUUUCGUGGCAAUCAACCCGGAGAACUUUGCUCCCGGGUUCACCGACCGUAUGGGGGACCUUCUGGCCAUCCAUAGAGAACUGGACCCUGCUGAUGCCGACGCUCCUGUUCUGGCCGCCGGAGAUCCCGAGAGGGCCAACAUCGCCAAGUGUGAGAAGAUGGGCGGCAUCCCAUAUCAUAUCAACGUCGUCAAAUAUAUGAAUGAAUGUGCCAAGAGAGAGGGCGUCAGUCCUCUGCUGCCUUGUGAUAAAAUCGUUCCAGAGUAGAAGCGACAAGUUGGAGAUCAUCUCGGCUUCUUCAGCCUGGUUGGUGUUUGUCAAUAGCGUGACCAAAUGAAAGCAAUUCUUUAACUAAUGACAAAUGAGGAUUGUGUCAAAAGUCGGCUGUUACUUUGAGCUCAAAUUGUUCAGCUUGCUUCUCUUUGCAUGUUUUUCUUUACCGAUUGUGCAGACGAAACGUUGCCUUAACACCAAGUCCAGCCGAUGAUGUCAAUCAGUUGACAACUCAGUGAACAAAAGCGGUUCGAAAUGAGUGAAUGGACUGUGAAAGCGGCCAUGUGAUGUUUGGAAGACAGAAUUUUUUUUUUAAUUGAAUUGGGAACUGACUUGAUAUUUUUAUAUGUAGCACAAGCGAGCCUUGUCAAGAUAAGCGGUUUAGAUAAAGGAUGGAUGGAUGGAUGGAUGGAUGGAUACAACAAACUAUAAAAGUAUUUUCCUGCCAGCAAUAUUUCAAGUGCCUUAUUAGUCCCAAUAAAAAGUCAUAUCAGA